AACGCAUAUUGCACUCUUUGGUAUUCCGAAGAGUAUGCCUGUUUGAGGGUCAUUUGAAAAUUAAUCAAGUUUAAUCUUGGAAUAAUGAGUUUUCCGCGUUAUCAUAUGGUAAUUGGUCACUCGAAAUUAAUGUCAUGUCUUGGCUUGUAACAGACGCGUUUAUUUUAAAUUUUAAAUGUUCGCAACUAAUCAAGUCUUGUGUAAUGAUAUGUUUAAUUUUUCCCUUUUAAAAAGAGGAAGAAAUCGAACAACUUUUUUAUAAUCGUGACCUCAAAUCAGGUAAGAGUACCCGCUGAACUUAA
This 302-nucleotide unclassified non-coding RNA is filed under the name uncultured Archaeospora. Its description in RNAcentral is "sequence contains ITS2". The stretch from base 1 to 52 matches the Rfam family "5.8S ribosomal RNA", at positions 103 to 154 of the family's 154-position model. Lineage: Eukaryota; Fungi; Glomeromycota; Glomeromycetes; Archaeosporales; Archaeosporaceae. The record is from RNAcentral.